GACGAACGCUGGCGGCGUGCCUAACACAUGCAAGUCGAACGGAACUGCCGGGGUUAUUGGCGGUGGGGGGGGGAACACGGGGGAAGGUGCCCGUAGGUACGCUAUCCCUCAGGGAAGGAUGAGCUAAUACAAAAGGUGCCCAUCGGGGGAAAGAUUACUCGCCUCUGGAGCGGCCUGCGCCUGUUUCGCUGGUUGGGUGAGGUAAUGGCUCACCAAGGCUACGUUCAGUAGUUGGUCUGAGAGGAUGAUCAGCCAGAUUGGGACUGAGACACGGCCCAAACUCCUACGGGAGGCAGCAGUGGGGAAUCUUGCGCAAUGGGCGAAAGCCUGACGCAGCCAUGCCGCGUGAAUGAUGAAGGUCUUAGGAUUGUAAAAUUCUUUGACCGGGGACGAUAAUGACGGUACCCGGUGAAGAAGCCCCGGCUAACUUCGUG
This 434-nucleotide ribosomal RNA is filed under the name uncultured bacterium. RNAcentral's name for it is "partial 16S ribosomal RNA". It matches the Rfam family "Bacterial small subunit ribosomal RNA", at positions 28 to 507 of the family's 1533-position model. The record is from RNAcentral.